GACGAACGCUGGCGGCGUGCCUAAUACAUGCAAGUUGAGCGCUCAGACUAGGUGCUUGUUCCUCCUGCGUUAGCAGCGGACGGGUGAGUAACACGUGGAGAACCUACCUUUAAGCCUGGGAUAACUUUGGGAAACCGGUGCUAAUACCGCAUAAUAUCUUUAACCACAUGUUUUAAUAUUGAAAGAUGCUAUUACUUUACUCAAUGAUUAUCUCGCGUGGUAUUAGCUAGUUGGUUAGGUAAAGGCUUACCAAGGCCACGAUGCAUAGCCGACCUGAGAGGGUGAUCGGCCACACUGGAACUGAGACACGGUCCAGACUCCUACGGGAGGCAGCAGUAGGGAAUCUUCCGCAAUGGGCGAAAGCCUGACGGAGCAACGCCGCGUGAGUGAUGAAGGUCUUCGGAUCGUAAAACUCUGUUAUUAGGGAAGAACAAAUGUGUAAGUAACUAUGCAAGUAUUGACGGUAACUAAUCAGAAAGCCAAGGCUAAAUACGGG
This 496-nucleotide ribosomal RNA is filed under the name uncultured bacterium. Its description in RNAcentral is "partial 16S ribosomal RNA". It matches the Rfam family "Bacterial small subunit ribosomal RNA", at positions 28 to 507 of the family's 1533-position model. The record is from RNAcentral.